CAUAAAUAUAUAUUGUGAAUAAUAUUUAUUUAUUCUUCAUGGUAGCAGAAAAGUGGUUCUAUUAAUCGGUCUACCAGUGUAUAACUUCUUCUCUGGAAGCAACCAGUCUCUCGUAGACGUUCGUGUAUUCUUUGAAAUGUUUUCUUAUUUGGCCUACGCCGAUUGGGAAAAUAUUCCGAGUAUAAAAACAUCUUGCUUUACUUGCAUUACACAUUACACGAGCAUCAGAUGGAUAUCUGUCAUUUCUAAAUUAGAAUAACGCUCCAUUAUCACUUCAAACACGAUCUUAUACGACAUGUAUUACGAUUAUUAGUAAGAACUGAACUGAUUUAGAGACUAUUGCGAAAUUUGCUGAAUCUUCAAAUAGCCACAUGAAAGAUAUCAAGUGUACAAUCAGCUCCCGAAGUGAGUCCCACAAGGUUACGAAAUACCCUGUAUAGUGCCAUCAAUAAUAAGCAGUUGGAAUACAUAGGUGAGUUGGAUACUGCAUAUGAAAUAAUAAAGAAGUUUGAUAGAAUGUACUUAGAGGAGUCGACAGCAGAUAGUAUGUAGAAAUAAUGUUGAAGCAGUCAAGUUAAAAAAUUACACAGACGUGACGAUCUCUUUUGACGAGUUUGAAGAAGCAGCGAAUGAUCUAAAAGCUGCACGAGCAAAAUUGACUGAAAAUGAAAAACUAAAUUAUAUGCUAAAAGCCCUAUCAGGCCCUCGUACAGUUAUAUUGGCGAUCUAGUUGAUGCUCUUCCUGAAUGAGAAAGAACAAUAGAAUCUGUAGAAGCAAAAAAGGAAGAAGAAAAGAGAGAUGAAAUACAAGCUAAUUCAAAUGCGUUUGUAAUAGUAGGAUCUUCAACUGAAGGUAAUAGGCAACCAGUCAUUUGUUAUAAUUGUGGUAAAACAGAACAUCUACAAAGAGAAUGUCGCUCAACAGUAGUAGAAAAUAU
This is a long non-coding RNA of Frieseomelitta varia, 938 nucleotides long. RefSeq lists it as uncharacterized. The record is from RefSeq and is a predicted model, not a curated record. Lineage: Eukaryota; Metazoa; Arthropoda; Insecta; Hymenoptera; Apidae. The transcript has 2 exons.